UCACUUAUAGAUGGAUCCGCGCUGCAUUAGCUAGUUGGUAAGGUAACGGCUUACCAAGGCAACGAUGCAUAGCCGACCUGAGAGGGUGAUCGGCCACACUGGAACUGAGACACGGUCCAGACUCCUACGGGAGGCAGCAGUAGGGAAUCUUCCGCAAUGGGCGAAAGCCUGACGGAGCAACGCCGCGUGAGUGAUGAAGGUCUUCGGAUCGUAAAACUCUGUUAUUAGGGAAGAACAUAUGUGUAAGUAACUGUGCACAUCUUGACGGUACCUAAUCAGAAAGCCACGGCUAACUACGUGCCAGCAGCCGCGGUAAUACGUAGGUGGCAAGCGUUAUCCGGAAUUAUUGGGCGUAAAGCGCGCGUAGGCGGUUUUUUAAGUCUGAUGUGAAAGCCCACGGCUCAACCGUGGAGGGUCAUUGGAAACUGGAAAACUUGAGUGCAGAAGAGGAAAGUGGAAUUCCAUGUGUAGCGGUGAAAUGCGCAGAGAUAUGGAGGAACACCAGUGGCGAAGGCGACUUUCUGGUCUGUAACUGACGCUGAUGUGCGAAAGCGUGGGGAUCAAACAGGAUUAGAUACCCUGGUAGUCCACGCCGUAAACGAUGAGUGCUAAGUGUUAGGGGGUUUCCGCCCCUUAGUGCUGCAGCUAACGCAUUAAGCACUCCGCCUGGGGAGUACGACCGCAAG
RNAcentral lists this ribosomal RNA (686 nucleotides) under Staphylococcus aureus. RNAcentral describes it as "bacterial SSU rRNA". It matches the Rfam family "Bacterial small subunit ribosomal RNA", at positions 215 to 892 of the family's 1533-position model. Lineage: Bacteria; Bacillati; Bacillota; Bacilli; Caryophanales; Staphylococcaceae. The record is from RNAcentral.